CUCAAUAUACCUGGCGAAUUGCCAAUACGAAGCUAAAGUGACCAGGUUAAAAUGUAAAUAUGUUAAAAGAGUAUUUUAUAGAAUUUAAAUAGUUUCAUUGUUAUUGAUAUCUGUAUUAAUAUAGGGAGGUGACCAUUCUACAUUGAUCCAGUGCCUUUUUAUGGGAUUCGAAACUGUGACUGUGAGAUGUAUGAGAGUUUGACUUCUAGGCGGGCAAUUCUACUUUCACUUUAAACGGAUGGCAGGUGCCUGAGUGUAUCUCGACCCAUUUCCAGGCUAGCAUCAGAUGUCAUGAUGGACCUUUAAAAUCUUUCACAUGUGUACUUUCAAGAACCAUAUACAUUAUUUUUGAAAAUUGGUUGCCAUGGUAAUAAAAUCUGAAAAUUAAAACAUGGGCUUCUGAA
This is a long non-coding RNA of Ostrea edulis (European flat oyster), 404 nucleotides long. RefSeq lists it as uncharacterized. NCBI's taxonomy places the organism in Eukaryota, Metazoa, Mollusca, Bivalvia, Ostreida, Ostreidae. The transcript has 2 exons. The record is from RefSeq and is a predicted model, not a curated record.